RNAcentral lists this non-coding RNA (21 nucleotides) under Rattus norvegicus (Norway rat). Lineage: Eukaryota; Metazoa; Chordata; Mammalia; Rodentia; Muridae. The record is from RNAcentral.
UUUAAAAGUCACACCUUCUCC